UACGUAGGGGGCAAGCGUUGUCCGGAAUCAUUGGGCGUAAAGAGCGUGUAGGCGGCUCGGUAAGUCCGCUGUGAAAGUCCAGGGCUCAACCCUGGAAUGCCGGUGGAAACUGUCGAGCUAGAGUCCGGAAGAGGCGAGUGGAAUUCCUGGUGUAGCGGUGAAAUGCGCAGAUAUCAGGAGGAACACCAAUGGCGAAGGCAGCUCGCUGGGCUGAGAUUGACGCUCAGGCACGAAAGCGUGGGGAGCAAACAGG
Molecule: ribosomal RNA, 253 nt
Filed under: uncultured bacterium
Lineage: Bacteria
Description: partial 16S ribosomal RNA
Rfam family: Bacterial small subunit ribosomal RNA
Source: RNAcentral